AGAGUUUGAUCAUGGCUCAGGACGAACGCUGGCGGCGUGCUUAACACAUGCAAGUCGAACGAUGAUGCCCGGCCUUGCCGGGUGGAUUAGUGGCGAACGGGUGAGUAAUACGUGAGUAACCUGCCCUUGACUCUGGGAUAAGCCUGGGAAACCGGGUCUAAUACUGGAUACUACUGUCUGCCGCAUGGUGGGUGGUGGAAAGGGUUUGACUGGUUUUGGAUGGGCUCACGGCCUAUCAGCUUGUUGGUGGGGUAAUGGCUCACCAAGGCGACGACGGGUAGCCGGCCUGAGAGGGUGACCGGCCACACUGGGACUGAGACACGGCCCAGACUCCUACGGGAGGCAGCAGUGGGGAAUAUUGCACAAUGGGCGGAAGCCUGAUGCAGCGACGCCGCGUGAGGGAUGACGGCCUUCGGGUUGUAAACCUCUUUCAGUAGGGAAGAAGCGCAAGUGACGGUACCUGCAGAAGAAGCGCCGGCUAACUACGUGCCAGCAGCCGCGGUAAUACGUAGGGCGCAAGCGUUGUCCGGAAUUAUUGGGCGUAAAGAGCUCGUAGGCGGUUUGUCGCGUCUGCUGUGAAAGUCCGGGGCUCAACCCCGGGUCUGCAGUGGGUACGGGCAGACUAGAGUGCAGUAGGGGAGACUGGAAUUCCUGGUGUAGCGGUGAAAUGCGCAGAUAUCAGGAGGAACACCGAUGGCGAAGGCAGGUCUCUGGGCUGUUACUGACGCUGAGGAGCGAAAGCAUGGGGAGCGAACAGGAUUAGAUACCCUGGUAGUCCAUGCCGUAAACGUUGGGCACUAGGUGUGGGGGACAUUCCACGUUUUCCGCGCCGUAGCUAACGCAUUAAGUGCCCCGCCUGGGG
Molecule: ribosomal RNA, 862 nt
Filed under: uncultured bacterium
Lineage: Bacteria
Description: bacterial SSU rRNA
Rfam family: Bacterial small subunit ribosomal RNA
Source: RNAcentral